RNAcentral lists this small nuclear RNA (23 nucleotides) under Arabidopsis thaliana (thale cress). RNAcentral describes it as "snRNA_11811". The record is from RNAcentral. Lineage: Eukaryota; Viridiplantae; Streptophyta; Magnoliopsida; Brassicales; Brassicaceae.
CCUAAGUUCAUUGACCUCGACUA